CUUGGCCAUAAAAUAAACAUCAAGGUGGGAUUUGGAAGUCAGACAAGAGCUGAGCUGUGUGCAUGCAGAGGCUCCUUGUGCUUGGGCUGAACCAAGUGAGCAAGGAACACAAGGAUGUCACGUGCAAAAUAGCAAAGCUGGCAGCAGCAAGCAGUGGGUACGAAUAUGGGGAGAAGGUCAUCUGAGACUAGAUGUCACUGACAGCAAUGAUCACACAGCUUGAAGGCAUCUGUUUUGAAGCUAAUGUCAAUUUUUGCUUUGUUCUGUGUUCACAGAUGCAGUGCGUUCCCCAAUUAUACCAACAGAAUCUUCUACACCCACUAUUGUCACAGAGGGAAGUGCCACAUCAGCUACUGAAAUCCCAGACACAACUUAUGAAGGCUUCACCUCCACUACAGAAGAAGAUGGGACUACAGAAAUCCCCACCUUGCCUCCAGAAGUCUGUGAAAACUCAGCAGAACCACCAACGCCACCCAUCACAACUACAGAAGACAGCGUGACCUCAACUCCAGGCAUCUUUCCCACAGUUCUUGAAUAUCCCUUCUCUGUCCCCAGCACUGCAACUACACAGACAACAGAUGUUACAGAGAUCCUGGCCACCACUCUGGGAGGUGAGGCACUCCUCUGCUGAAGGUACUCCCAAAAACAACAAGGAUCACAUCCCUCACUGCCCUAACAAUGGCUGCUGCAUCUUUACCAAUGUCUACUGCAUCUCCAGCAGUAGAAGGCGGCAGUCAGAAAUAACACCGGGAUCUAGUGCCAUUAAAUGCUCAAUCAGGGUGGUUUACAGGCUCUUUUCAGUAAGAACAGGGGGCUGUCCUUGACUCACUUCCCUGCAAAACCCAUCCCCACCUACUUGCAUCAAGAU
This 868-nucleotide long non-coding RNA is filed under the name Coturnix japonica (Japanese quail). RNAcentral's name for it is "lncRNA (ENSCJPG00005020165.1)". The record is from RNAcentral. Lineage: Eukaryota; Metazoa; Chordata; Aves; Galliformes; Phasianidae.